GAUGAACGCUGGCGGCGUGCCUAAUACAUGCAAGUCGAGCGAACAGACGAGGAGCUUGCUCCUCUGACGUUAGCGGCGGACGGGUGAGUAACACGUGGAUAACCUACCUAUAAGACUGGGAUAACUUCGGGAAACCGGAGCUAAUACCGGAUAAUAUAUUGAACCGCAUGGUUCAAUAGUGAAAGACGGUUUUGCUGUCACUUAUAGAUGGAUCCGCGCCGCAUUAGCUAGUUGGUAAGGUAACGGCUUACCAAGGCAACGAUGCGUAGCCGACCUGAGAGGGUGAUCGGCCACAUUGGAACUGAGACACGGUCCAGACUCCUACGGGAGGCAGCAGUAGGGAAUCUUCCGCAAUGGGCGAAAGCUUGACGGAGCAACGCCGCGUGAGUGAUGAAGGUCUUCGGAUCGUAAAACUCUGUUAUUAGGGAAGAACAAAUGUGUAAGUAACUAUGCACGUCUUGACGGUACCUAAUCAGAAAGCCCCGGCUAACUACGUG
Molecule: ribosomal RNA, 497 nt
Filed under: uncultured bacterium
Lineage: Bacteria
Description: partial 16S ribosomal RNA
Rfam family: Bacterial small subunit ribosomal RNA
Source: RNAcentral